RNAcentral lists this ribosomal RNA (321 nucleotides) under Clostridioides difficile. Its description in RNAcentral is "bacterial LSU rRNA". It matches the Rfam family "Bacterial large subunit ribosomal RNA", at positions 1 to 321 of the family's 2925-position model. Lineage: Bacteria; Bacillati; Bacillota; Clostridia; Peptostreptococcales; Peptostreptococcaceae. The record is from RNAcentral.
UGGUCAAGUUAUUAAGGGUGCAGGGCGGAUGCCUUGGCACUAGGAGCCGAUGAAGGACGUGAUAAGCUGCGAUAAGCUUCGGGGAGUUGCACGUAAACUUUGAUCCGAAGAUUUCCGAAUGAGGAAACUCACUUAGAGUAAUGUCUAAGUAUCAUUAAGUGAAUACAUAGCUUAAUGAGGGGAACUCAGGGAACUGAAACAUCUAAGUACCUGAAGGAAGAGAAAGAAAUUCGAUUCCGUAAGUAGCGGCGAGCGAACGCGGAUUAGCCCAAACCAAUAAAGUUUUCUUUAUUGGGGUUGCGGACAUAUCAUAACGAAGAG